UCGGGAAUUUUGGGCAAUGGGCGAAAGCCUGACCCAGCAACGCCGCGUGAGGGAUGAAGUAUUUCGGUAUGUAAACCUCGAAAGAAUGGGAAGAAUAAAUGACGGUACCAUUUAUAAGCUCCGGCUAACUACGUGCCAGCAGCCGCGGUAAUACGUAGGGAGCAAGCGUUGUUCGGAUUUACUGGGCGUAAAGGGCGCGCAGGCGGAAUGGUGAGGCAGUGGUGAAAUCCUACAGCUUAACUGUAGAACUGUCUUUGAUACUUUCACUCUUGAGUUCGGGAGAGAGCGACGGAAUUCCAGGUGUGGUGGUGAAAUACGUAGAUAUCUGGAAGAACACCAGGUGCGAAGGCGGUCUCUUGGUCCGAUACUGACGCUGAGGCGCGAAAGCGUGGGGAGCAAACA
RNAcentral lists this ribosomal RNA (402 nucleotides) under uncultured bacterium. Its description in RNAcentral is "bacterial SSU rRNA". It matches the Rfam family "Bacterial small subunit ribosomal RNA", at positions 355 to 774 of the family's 1533-position model. The record is from RNAcentral.